This 655-nucleotide long non-coding RNA is filed under the name Anas platyrhynchos platyrhynchos (common mallard). RNAcentral's name for it is "lncRNA (ENSAPLG00000027348.1)". The record is from RNAcentral. Lineage: Eukaryota; Metazoa; Chordata; Aves; Anseriformes; Anatidae.
ACAAAUUCCUGAUGAUAGUGUUGUCUGUAACACCUGGAUUAGAUCAAUGCAUUUCCUGUUCCACACAGAGGGCAUAAAAGGAGCAAACUGAGCUCAGAAGAGGGACUGAAGUUCAGAAUGGAGAUUCUCUGUAUUGGUACUGUAUCGAUGUCUAGGCAAAAUUUGUAUGCUUUCUUAUUGACUUGCUUCUUCAAUAGAAGACAGGUUAUUAUUUUAACUCCAGCAAGUAAGAAUGUCUCCAUAUGCCUAUUGGACAACAACAAGAAGGAAAUAUGGUCCCCAUGCUGCAGCUUCUUAUCGGGAAUUGUGGUUUUUUGUAUCCUGCCUAGCACUGGCUGAGGGAGCAGAAGAACUGAGUUGCACCACACAUCCAAAUGCACUGUUUGCUCUUGCUCCCUACCCUGAUCCCAAAGGCCUUUUUACUUGGCUACAUAGAGUUGGAGUUAAUCUGUUAGGUGCUGGAGAAAAUGUAUGAGCAAAGGGAAGAUGUGGAAAGCAGGGCUAAGGAACAGAGAAGCCGUAAGUAAAAAGGACUUAAAAUGUGUUUGAGUGGUUUCUUUCCUUAAAGAAAGCAGUUAUAUUGGAGCCUUCUGAAGCUGCUGAUAUGAAUCCAGCAUAUACAGGCUACUAGAAAUGCAAAGAAUAAUCCUUUACU